Molecule: long non-coding RNA, 1317 nt
Organism: Homo sapiens (human)
Lineage: Eukaryota; Metazoa; Chordata; Mammalia; Primates; Hominidae
Source: Ensembl
GGGAUCCUGCAUCUGAUGUGGCCCUUCUGCUGUGCCUGUGGCUCCCCAGUUGCCUCUGGGCCAUCCCAGCCUCAGUUUCCCCAUCUCUGUCAUGAAUGACACCAUGGAGGUUCCGUGAGGUUAAAUGUGAUCUCACAGUUUACAUUUGAUGGAGCUGGGCUUUGAACCUGGGGACCGCAUCCUCUCACCCCUCUCCUUUUCUGCCACCUUGGCUGGGAAGUGGAGGAGUUCUGACUCACAGCCCAAAGUCCUGUCUACACCGGAUGCCAAGAGAAGAACCCGGCAUACAGCAGACGGUGAAGAUGCAGGGUCCUGAGAGUCAGCUUGGGGAGGUGGCUCCAGCAUGGAGACAGUGUCGGCUCCACUUUAGGGAGAAGGAAACUGAGGUCCAGGAAAGUCGGGUGGCUUUCCAAGGGCAUCCCCCAUGGAGGGAUGUGGUGAGGGCUGGCCCAGGCCUUCCAGCUUCAUCCCCACUGCUCCCACUAUACGGGAAGUCUUGUGGGACGUAUCCUGUGGCUGAACCUCUUCCCAUCCAGCAGCAUGGGAACCUCUUUCCAUCUUCUUUCUCAUGAAGAAAACCAAAAACAAGGAUUUCCACUUCUCGGAGCAAGUCUUUACUCCACUCUUCUAAUCCACUGUGUCCUGGACCCCACCCAUAUGGGGCCAUCCUCCUGUGCCCAGCACCAACUCCGUCCCAGGGACCUUGGCUGCAAUCACCUUCCUCUCUCACAAUUCACAAUUUUCUGGAUUUUUUCCUCAUGUCGUUUCCACUGACUCCUCACCAAAGCUCAUCUCUCUCAUGCUUCCCAGCCCUUGAUCUGGACAUCAUAAGGCUGUAGAAAGAUCCUAGGAUAGAGACCGAGAAAGCUGAGUUCUAGAACUUUCCAUCAACCAAAAGCAUUAUUUUUAACAAUAAAAAGAUUUGCAGGUUUGAGGAUGGCUUCAGAGAAAGCUGCAGGAUUCCAAAGCAGAAUGUAAUCUUUGGAAGCCCAGGUCGUCCCCUCAGCCACCGGGAAUUAGGCAGGAGGCGUCCGAGCUGGCUUUACACCAUACAGGGUGUCAUCUGUUUCGGUGUUGUGUGUGCCUGUCAGACAUCCAAGCCUGUCCUGGACACCCCUCCAGUGACACCUCAUUAACAGAGUGUAUCCUGUCUCAAGGCAUGAGUUUGCUUGUCAUUGUCAUCAUGGAUUUCAGAUGGUGGUAUAGUCUCCUGGGAAAGAGAGGGAGGAACCAAGAAAGAAGCCAGGAAGAGAGGGAGGGAAAGAAGAGGGUGGCUAAAUGUUUGAAGGCCUACUAUGUGCAAACCCUUGUGGUCAC